Molecule: long non-coding RNA, 347 nt
Filed under: Rattus norvegicus (Norway rat)
Lineage: Eukaryota; Metazoa; Chordata; Mammalia; Rodentia; Muridae
Description: long non-coding RNA NONRATT029448
Source: RNAcentral
CAGACAUGUUAAAGUCAAGUUCAGCCAAGCAGGGCAGCAGCAUGCCUUCAUGUUUAUGUGUGCGCACACACAUGUGUAUGUUCAUGUGUUUGCAUAUGCACGUGCGUGUGGGUGCACGUGGUAGAAAUCUGAAAACAAUGUCAAAUGUUUCUCCUCAAGUGUUAUCUACCCUACUGGACAGAGGGAGGGGACAGGGUCUUUCGCUGGCCUGCAAUUUGCCAAGUGGGCUAGGCAGGCUGGCUGGCCAAGGAGCCCCAGAAAUCCUCCUCCCCACACCUCUCCUGCACUGGGGUUACAAGUGCCAGCCACUUACUGCAGGCUUUAUUCCCAAAAAAAAAAAAAAAAAA